AUUGAACGCUGGCGGCAGGCCUAACACAUGCAAGUCGAGCGGAUGAAGGGAGCUUGCUCCUGGAUUCAGCGGCGGACGGGUGAGUAAUGCCUAGGAAUCUGCCUGGUUGUGGGGGAUAACGUCCGGAAACGGGCGCUAAUACCGCAUACGUCCUGAGGGAGAAAGUGGGGGAUCUUCGGACCUCACGCUAUCAGAUGAGCGUAGGUCGGAUUAGCUAGUUGGUGGGGUAAAGGCCUACCAAGGCGACGAUCCGUAACUGGUCUGAGAGGAUGAUCAGUCACACGGGAGCUGGAACACGGUCCAGACUCCUACGGGAGGCAGCAGUGGGGAAUAGUGGGCAGUGGGCGAAAACCUGAUCCAGCCAUGCGGCGUGUGUGAAGAAGGUCUUCGGAUUGUAAAGCACUUUAAGUUGGGGGGAAGGGCAGUAAGUUGAUACCUUGCUGUUGUGACGUUACCAACAAAAUAAGCACCGGCUAACUUCGUG
RNAcentral lists this ribosomal RNA (484 nucleotides) under uncultured bacterium. Its description in RNAcentral is "partial 16S ribosomal RNA". It matches the Rfam family "Bacterial small subunit ribosomal RNA", at positions 30 to 507 of the family's 1533-position model. The record is from RNAcentral.